Molecule: ribosomal RNA, 495 nt
Filed under: Trichoderma harzianum
Lineage: Eukaryota; Fungi; Ascomycota; Sordariomycetes; Hypocreales; Hypocreaceae
Description: partial 28S ribosomal RNA
Source: RNAcentral
UUGACCUCGGAUCAGGUAGGAAUACCCGCUGAACUUAAGCAUAUAAUAAGCCCGGAGAAAAACCGACGCUCCGCAGUUCACCUUAACGGAAAUUUGUUUUUCCCCCCCUUAGGAGGGAAAAACGGGGUUUUCUAGGGGCCGGGAAAAUUUUAAAUGUGGGUUUUAGGGGGGGGCGGCGGGCCCCGAGGGGGGGGAAAUACGGGAGAAGGCUGGGCGACCCCCUGUUUUGGAGACCCCCCGCUAGGGGGCGACCCCCCCCCCCCCCGGGGUCAGGUUAAAGAGGGGAAGCACCCCCAGAUCUGGGGGCGAGGCGACAAAAUGAGAUCCAGAAUGAAUUAUUAUUGGUUUCCGGGUCUACGGCGAACAGAGACGGUGAAUUUUUUUUCGACCCAGAGCGCGGUCGUAUAUAACAGCGGGGUAAAAUGUUUUUCCGGGCGUGUGUGGAGAGAGGAACCGAUAUGAAUCUGUUGAUAUAUAAACACUCUCUCCACAGAA